Molecule: ribosomal RNA, 497 nt
Filed under: uncultured bacterium
Lineage: Bacteria
Description: partial 16S ribosomal RNA
Rfam family: Bacterial small subunit ribosomal RNA
Source: RNAcentral
GAUGAACGCUGGCGGCGUGCCUAAUACAUGCAAGUCGAGCGAACGGACGAGAAGCUUGCUUCUCUGAUGUUAGCGGCGGACGGGUGAGUAACACGUGGAUAACCUACCUAUAAGACUGGGAUAACUUCGGGAAACCGGAGCUAAUACCGGAUAAGAUUUUGAACCGCAUGGUUCAAAAGUGAAAGACGGUCUUGCUGUCACUUAUAGAUGGAUCCGCGCUGCAUUGGCUAGUUGGUAAGGUAACGGCUUACCAAGGCAACGAUGCAUAGCCGACCUGAGAGGCUGAUCGGCCACACUGGAACUGAGACACGGUCCAGACUCCUACGGGAGGCAGCAGUAGGGAAUCUUCCGCAGUGGGCGAAAGCCUGACGGAGCAACGCCGCGUGAGUGAUGAAGGUCUUCGGAUCGUAAAACUCUGUUAUUAGGGAAGAACAUAUGUGUAAGUAACUGUGCACAUCUUGACGGUACCUAAUCAGAAAGCCACGGCUAACUACGUG